RNAcentral lists this ribosomal RNA (281 nucleotides) under uncultured bacterium. RNAcentral's name for it is "partial 16S ribosomal RNA". It matches the Rfam family "Bacterial small subunit ribosomal RNA", at positions 333 to 631 of the family's 1533-position model. The record is from RNAcentral.
AUUGCCCUACGGGGCGCAGCAGUGGGGAAUAUUGCGCAAUGGGGGAAACCCUGAUGCAGCGACGCCGCGUGAGUGAAGAAGUAAUUCGCUAUGUAAAGCUCUAUCAGCAGGGAAGAAAAUGACGGUACCUGAGUAAGAAGCCCCGGCUACCUACGUGCCAGCAGCCGCGGUAAUACGUAGGGGGCAAGCGUUAUCCGGAUUUACUGGGUGUAAAGGGAGCGUAGACGGCAGUGCAAGUCUGGAGUGAAAGGCGGGGGCUCAACCCCCGGACUGCUCUGGAA